Molecule: ribosomal RNA, 815 nt
Filed under: Myroides sp.
Lineage: Bacteria; Pseudomonadati; Bacteroidota; Flavobacteriia; Flavobacteriales; Flavobacteriaceae
Description: bacterial SSU rRNA
Rfam family: Bacterial small subunit ribosomal RNA
Source: RNAcentral
ACACAUGCAAGUCGAGGGGUAGAAGAAGCUUGCUUUUUUGAGACCGGCGCACGGGUGAGUAACGCGUAUGCAACCUACCUUAUACAGGGGAAUAGCCCGAAGAAAUUCGGAUUAAUGCUCCAUGGUUUAUCGAUAUGGCAUCGUAUUGAUAAUAAAGAUUUAUCGGUAUAAGAUGGGCAUGCGUAUCAUUAGCUAGUUGGUGUGGUAACGGCAUACCAAGGCAACGAUGAUUAGGGGUCCUGAGAGGGAGAUCCCCCACACUGGUACUGAGACACGGACCAGACUCCUACGGGAGGCAGCAGUGAGGAAUAUUGGUCAAUGGAGGCAACUCUGAACCAGCCAUGCCGCGUGCAGGAUGACGGUCCUAUGGAUUGUAAACUGCUUUUGUACAGGAAGAAACCUCCCUACGAGUAGGGACUUGACGGUACUGUAAGAAUAAGGAUCGGCUAACUCCGUGCCAGCAGCCGCGGUAAUACGGAGGAUCCGAGCGUUAUCCGGAAUUAUUGGGUUUAAAGGGUUCGUAGGCGGCUUUGUAAGUCAGUGGUGAAAUUUCCUAGCUUAACUAGGACACUGCCAUUGAUACUGCAGAGCUUGAAUAAUAUGGAAGUAACUAGAAUAUGUAGUGUAGCGGUGAAAUGCUUAGAUAUUACAUGGAAUACCAAUUGCGAAGGCAGGUUACUACGUAUUUAUUGACGCUGAUGAACGAAAGCGUGGGGAGCGAACAGGAUUAGAUACCCUGGUAGUCCACGCCGUAAACGAUGGAUACUAGCUGUUCGGUUUUCGGACUGAGUGGCUAAGCGAAAGUGAUAAGUAUC